UUGUAAGUCAAUGAGCAUUUGUACUAAAAUUGUAAUGACAGAAUAUUAACAUAGUCCCUGAACAAAGAUGACAUGAAAAUUUGUGAAGAUUUCCACAUUUUU
Small nuclear RNA from Cebus imitator (Panamanian white-faced capuchin), 102 nucleotides. The record is from RefSeq and is a predicted model, not a curated record. NCBI's taxonomy places the organism in Eukaryota, Metazoa, Chordata, Mammalia, Primates, Cebidae.